Molecule: unclassified non-coding RNA, 227 nt
Filed under: Hevea brasiliensis (rubber tree)
Lineage: Eukaryota; Viridiplantae; Streptophyta; Magnoliopsida; Malpighiales; Euphorbiaceae
Source: RNAcentral
GGCGCGGUUCGCAAGAAAGCCGGCCGCUCCGGUCGAGGUUGUUAAAAUCCGGGCCGUCAAGGCGGGGGCGACUGCUGCCAAGCAGAAAACUUCCCGGCCUUCAAAGCGCGCGACGGCGGGCAGCCGCGCGCGCGCUUAACGGACCGACUCCGGCCCCAUCACCAGAUCGGGCAACCAUGUUGAGAUGCCGGGGAAGAAGCACAGCAACAGCACGGCGAAGAACAUCA